UACAGAGGUCUCAAGCGUUGUUCGGAUUCAUUGGGCGUAAAGGGUGUGUAGGUGGCGCCGUAAGUCGGGUGUGAAAUCUCGGGGCUUAACUCCGAAACUGCAUUCGAUACUGCGGUGCUUGAGGACUGGAGAGGAGACUGGAAUUCAUGGUGUAGCAGUGAAAUGCGUAGAGAUCAUGAGGAAGACCAGUGGCGAAGGCGGGUCUCUGGACAGUUCCUGACACUGAGGCACGAAGGCCAGGGGAGCAAACGGG
Molecule: ribosomal RNA, 253 nt
Filed under: uncultured bacterium
Lineage: Bacteria
Description: partial 16S ribosomal RNA
Rfam family: Bacterial small subunit ribosomal RNA
Source: RNAcentral